Molecule: ribosomal RNA, 440 nt
Filed under: uncultured bacterium
Lineage: Bacteria
Description: partial 16S ribosomal RNA
Rfam family: Bacterial small subunit ribosomal RNA
Source: RNAcentral
CCUACGGGUGGCAGCAGUAGGGAAUAUUGCUCAAUGGGGGAAACCCUGAAGCAGCAACGCCGCGUGGAGGAUGACGGUUUUCGGAUUGUAAACUCCUUUUGUUAGAGAAGAUAAUGACGGUAUCUAACGAAUAAGCACCGGCUAACUCCGUGCCAGCAGCCGCGGUAAUACGGAGGGUGCAAGCGUUGCCCGGAAUUACUGGGCGUAAAGAGCGCGUAGGCGGGAUAGCAAGUCAGAUGUGAAAUCCUAGGGCUUAACCAUAGAACUGCAUUUGAAACUGUUAUUCUAGAGUAUGGGAGAGGUAGGUGGAAUUCUUGGUGUAGGGGUAAAAUCCGUAGAGAUCAAGAGGAAUACUCAUUGCGAAGGCGAUCUGCUAGAACAUAACUGACGCUGAUGCGCGAAAGCGUGGGGAGCAAACAGGAUUAGAUACCCUUGUAGUC